Long non-coding RNA from Oncorhynchus tshawytscha (Chinook salmon), 981 nucleotides. Lineage: Eukaryota; Metazoa; Chordata; Actinopteri; Salmoniformes; Salmonidae. The record is from Ensembl.
GUGGGUGUUUCUGUCAAGGAUUUCCUCCUCUUCUUCCGAAGAGGAGAGGCGAAACGGAUCAGAAGACCAAUAUGCGGCGUGGAGAUAGCUGUACACUGUAUGGGCAUCUCAGGAGUCUCAAGAGAGGUUUGUUCUGGUGACAUUGGGGACUCGCUGGUGCAAGCUGCCCCUAGAAACUCUACCUCAGCUUCCCCCUGAGUUCCCCCUAGAGUGUUGUGGUGUGUUUGUGGACUCCCGUGGAGAGAUCGGCUGGUCACAUCUACCUAUAGUUAGUAUACAUACAUGCAGAUACUAUGAAAAACUAAAUAGAGGCGUGUCUUGGUGAAUCAGAUUUGAACAAGGAUGAACAGAUGAGUCAUGCCAAAGGUGUAUCUAAUUUAACUGAGUUUCAGGGUGGUAAAGAGGGACACCAACACAUGCAACAUGUGUGAGCAAGACACUGUGAGCAAGACAAAGGAGCUGAUCGUGUAGUACAGGAAAAGGCGGGCUGAACAGGUCCUCAUUAACAUCAACGGGGCUGUAGUGGAGCGGGUCGAGAGUUUCAAGUUCCUUGGUGUCCACAUCACCAACGAACUAUCAUGGUCCAAACACACCAAGACAGUGGUGUAGAGGGCCCAACAACAUCUUUUUCCCCCUCAGGAGACUGAAAAGAUUUGGCAUGGGUCCCCAGAUCCUCAAAAGGUUCUACAGCUGUACCAUCGAGAGUAUCCUGACCGGUUGCAUCACCGCAUGGUAUGGCAACUGCUCGGCCUCCAACCGCAAGGCACUACAGAGGGUAGUGCGUACGGCCCAGUACAUCACUGGGGCCACGUUUCCUGCCAUCCAGGAUCUCUAUACUAGGCGGUGUUAGAAGAAAGACCAAACAUUUUUCAAAGACUCCGAUCACCCAAGUCAUAGACUGUUCUCUCUGCUACCGCACAGCAAGCGGUACUGGAGUGCCAAGUCUAGGACCAAAAGGCUCCUUAAAACAGCUUCUACCCC